This 76-nucleotide transfer RNA is filed under the name Ignavibacteriales bacterium. Its description in RNAcentral is "tRNA-Gln". It matches the Rfam family "tRNA". Rfam says of the family: Transfer RNA (tRNA) molecules are approximately 80 nucleotides in length. RNAcentral also lists the same sequence under 2 other names. Lineage: Bacteria; Pseudomonadati; Ignavibacteriota; Ignavibacteria; Ignavibacteriales. The record is from RNAcentral.
UGCCCUGUGGUGUAACUGGCAACACGUCUGACUCUGGAUCAGAAGAGUCCAGGUUCGACCCCUGGCGGGGCAGCCA